Diceros bicornis minor is the source of this 731-nucleotide long non-coding RNA. RefSeq lists it as uncharacterized. The record is from RefSeq and is a predicted model, not a curated record. Lineage: Eukaryota; Metazoa; Chordata; Mammalia; Perissodactyla; Rhinocerotidae. The transcript has 3 exons.
GAGAUCAGGGGUAUGUAUCUUCAACUACAGAGGAAGGCUUUUUGGAGGAUGUUGACUCUAAAGUAAAACCCUAGGAGAGGAGUUAGCCUGAUGAAGGUGAAUGGGGGUGAGAGAGAAGAAGGAUCUUCCAGGCUAAGGAAAUGGCUGAGACCUGCAAGCAAGAGAGGUACAAAGCAUUUGGGGAAGCUUAAGACAUCUAGAUUGGAAGACAGGAAGACAGGAAGUGGUUUCUUCUAGCUCCCCUUAUGCUGAGUUAUGGAGAAAGAGUAUGCUGUUCUUGGCUCUCCUACCCCUUGUGCUGCUGUUUCAAGGCUGCAAAGGAAAUGAAGGGACAGAGACAGCCCAAGGUUGAGGCCUGAGAUUCAUAUAGACGCUGCUGCCAUCACACACAGAUGACACCAACCAGCCAGGCCAAAGCGGACUCAUGUUGCCCAUAAACACUGCAACUGCAAUCAUUUUCAGUCCCAAGAGGCCAAUGGUGGGGAUGGGGAUGUCAUUCAGUCAUUCUGCAUAUGUUGAGUGAAGAGUGGGUAUCCACUGAUGUGAUUCGCAGCCUCACUGGCGAGAUUUCUCUAGAACGAUGGUUCUCCAAGUAUAGUGCCUGAACCAGCAGCAUCAGCAACACCUGGGAACUUGUUAGAAAUGCAAAUUGUUUAUCCAUAAUACUGCUGAUGAGCAUUUGGUUGUUUCUAGAUUUUUGACUAUUAUAAAUAAAGAUGCUGUGAACAUUC